Molecule: non-coding RNA, 3964 nt
Filed under: Pongo abelii (Sumatran orangutan)
Lineage: Eukaryota; Metazoa; Chordata; Mammalia; Primates; Hominidae
Source: RNAcentral
GACACUCGCCAGGGCACUGAUGAAACCAACCGCCAGCGAGCAGCACGGGAGACCCGCAGGGAGGGCGCGGCCCUGGCUCUGCCACCUCCCUGCUCCUGGACCACACUGGUGGGCGCAGGCAGACGAUACUGAUGCUCGACCACGGCCGCAUCUCGUCUGGGGGUGCCCUCUGCUAUCCUUAUCCUACAGGCGUUCAACCCCAAAAAAACUUUGCAGUGAACUUUGCCUCUUCCUGUUUCUCCUGAGGGUGCUCCUCUACGCCGAGUUUAGGAGAAGAGAGUGAGAGGAGCAACAAUGAAAGGCAAAGGGAACAAAUCCAUCCGCGGGCAGCCCCUUGGCGCCUUCUCCACUGCACCCUGAGCCCUACAGCUGAGAAGCCGAGUCCUGAGACUGUGCCAGCACCGCACGCAGAGCCUGGUGUGCGGUCAGAGCACAGCGUGAGCGGAAUGAAUCCUGAAUAAAUAAUUAUCAUCCUACACAUCUUCUAAGCCAGAAAUAGAGAAAUGUUACAGCCCUCAAUGGUGGGAACUGCAAAACCUCAGCCCUGCAAAGCAUGCCCCAUGUAGGGGCAGCGCCACUGCUGCUUGUGCGGCUCAGCUGACUAAGCGGAAAGCCAGAGGGGGCACCUCCGGAGAGUCGCCGAGCACUGCUGCUCCGGUGACCAAACGUCCGGCCUUCUAAGAGGUAUGUGUCAACCUCAAUCCUAAGCAAGCAGCAAGGAAGAUGUGGAUACGUACCGUCCCUUUAAGUUAAAUUACCUAGAGAAAACCUAUCCUAAAAGAAAAGGCAAUGAAAGUAACCACAAAAGUGAUGAGACAGAAAAGCCACGGCUCACAUGACUCCCUGGAAGGGUUGCUGCUGGCCUUACCUACAAGGCGAACGUGGAAAAUCCGAGAAGUCCUCAAUGAGAGUGAGGUGGUUUGAGAAAAUGCCCACAAAUUGCUGGAUACAUCUCUCUUAAAAAGGCAGAGCACAGGCCGGGCAUGGUGGCUCACGCCUGUAAUCCCGGCAGUUUGGGAGGCUGGGGCAGGUAGAUCACUUGAGGUCACGAGUUCGAGACCAGCCUGGCCAACACUGAGAAACCCUGCCUCUACUAAAAAUAAUUACAUUAAAAAAAGUUAGCCGGGUGUGGUGGUGGGCACCUGUAAUCCCAGCUACUCAGGAGAAUCGCCUAAACCCAGGAGGCAGAAGUUGCAAGGUUGAGCCAAGAUCAUGCCACUGCACUCCAGCCUGGGUGACAGCGUGAGACUCUGUCUCAAAAAAAAAAAAAAAAAAAGAAGAAAAAGAAAAGAAAAGAAAAAGGUGAAGCACAAUUACCCUCCCUUAAGAGAGGACUGACUUGGUAAUGCACAUGGAAAGAGCACAGUGUGGCAGAAGGGACAGGGUGUAACACCCAAGACUGGGACAUGCAGGCCCCGUGACCCCUCCUUGCUCUCUCUCUUUCUCUCUCUCUCUCCAAUCGCCUGCUCAGGAAAAGUGAAUGGCAAUCCCACAGACACGCACACAGCCCUGUGGGGAGGCCACAAGGUGCUGGGCUGAGGCCUCCUGCCCUUGCCCUGUAAGAGCACCCUGGAAGUGGGCUGUCCAGCUGGUGUGCAGCCUCAAAAGAGACCCCAAGCCAGACCCACCCAUGAAAGGUACCCCUGAAUUCUGGACUCAUAAAAUCUCUUAGAUAAUACAUAUUUGUUGUUUUAACCCACUCAGUUUUGCAUUGGUUACACAGCAAUAGAAAAUAAAGAAAAGAGGCAGAUGAAAUCGAUGGAGAAACAAUUGCAAAGAAAACAGAAUACACAAUGCACGAGCCUGUGUCAGGAAUGACAAUGCAUUCCACGGAACAGUCGCACAGAGAGAGACCAGUUACAAGAUGCUAUCAGGACAACGGGAGCUGUGCUGGGGCAGCUGGGCCUUCCGACAUCCUCCCUGGUUGCGGUGGCAGUGGUGGUGUCUGCUCCAGGUCAAGCCUGGCAGAGAGAAGGGAGGGCCAGCGCCUCAGGCAGUCACUGCACCCUCAAGGCCCAGGACACUCACGUCCACAGGACAAGCAUCCCGCGGCUCACCUACUGUCCUCACCAGAGACCAACUACACCCACAGAAAGGCCAAGAGGCAUUCUGGAAACACAAACCUCACUGACUAACAAAGAAACAGUAUUUGAGGAAAGCCAAUGUGAUGAAAGAGAGACGCCGGACUAAAAGGAGGGACAGUCAUCUGAGAACAUACAAAGCAAGUGGCAAGCGCUAGUUUACACGUCCAAGGUGACCGUCACAUGCUCUGUCCAGGCAAGAGAGGCAAGUGGACACCCUGAGAAGGAAAAAUGUUGUCAAAAUAAAAACCUAAUAUGUGAACCUAGGAGUUAAAUGGACACAGCCUGCGAGCAAAGAGACAGUGAGAAGAUGAAGCCAAGGCACUCUCCAGAAUGCAGGUGACGGGAAAAAGAGACGGUAACAAAGAUCCAAAGAGGUCCAGAAGGAAUGACCAUGGAGCGGAAAGAAAGAAAACAGCAUUCAAAAAGGCAACAGAAUAAAAUUUCCCGGGCUGAAGAAAUAAGUCUUCAGAGUGAAAGGACCCAAGGAACAAUGUCCUGCUUAAGUUCAGAAAAUCCAAGGCUGAGGAAAGAGCCCUGAAAGGCUCAACGUGGCAACACUGUGUGCUAAAAGACAGCGGAGUUCUGAGGGGCAGCUCUUUCCAUGGAACUUUUUUUUUUUGAGAUGGAGUCUCGCUCUCUGGAGUGCAAUGGCGCAAUCUCGGCUCACGGAAACCUCCGCCUCCCAGGUUCAAGCGAUUCUCCUGCCUCAGCCUCCCGAGUAACUGGGAUUACAGGCACCCACCACCACGCCAGGCUAAUUUUUAUAUUUUUAGUAGAGAUGAGGUUUCACCAUGUUGGCCAGGCUGGUCUCCAACUCCUGACCUCAAGUGAUCCGCCCCACCUCGGCCUCCCAAAGUGCUGGGAUUACAGGCAUGAGCCACCGCGCCCGGCCUCAAUGGAACUUUUAAAUCAUCUAGCCCAUCAAUAUUUUAGACAUUUCCAAUAUAUCUGGAUUUAUUUACUAUUUUAUGUUGUGUUUUCUACUUUUCUCAUCUUUCUGUGUUCAAGUAUCCUCUCUUGCCUUCUUUUGGAUUUUUCUCCCCAUUAUACAUUUUUUUCUUUUUACUCUAAACUUAAUUACAUAACUUAUCAAAGCCUAAUGUCCCCACACUCCACCCACGCAAUCCCAGGACCUUAAAACUCUUUAAUUCCAUUCCCUUCCCGCUGACAUGACCUUGGAGUCAAUUAUUUUAGUUCUACCAUUUGUGGUUUAGCCCAGGAGACAUCUGCCUCAAGCCUGUUCAAUUCACUCACAUGCAUACAGCUUUGUUUAUAAUGCCUUCUUAGAGCUCGGACUUUCCACAGAAGACAACCUUCUCUCCUCUUGAAAUAGGUCCUUUAGAAAUGCUUUUAGUAGCCAGGCAUAGUGGUGCAUGCCUGUAGUCCAGGUGCUCAGGAGAGUGGACUGAGCCCAGGAGUUCGAGGCUGUGGUGCACUGUGAUCACGACUGUGAGUAGCCACUGCACUCCAGCCUGGGCAACGUGGUGAGACCCUGUCUCUAGAAAAACAGAAAUGCUUUUAAUAAAGUCCUAUAGGUAUCAAAUUAUCUCCACUUGUGUUUGUAUAAAAAUGUAUUUAUUUUUCUAUCAUUCCUGAAAGAUAUAUUAGGUAUAUCAGUUAGUGCAAAAGUAAUUGUGGGUUAAUGGCAAAAACUGCAAUUACUUUUGCACCAACCUAAUAGAAUGUCAGUUCUUUUCUCUCAGCAUGUUAGAUAUUAUCCAGCUAUCUUCUCCUUUCCACUGGUGCCAGUAAGAAGCCAUGUCAGCCUUAAUGUUGCUUCUUUGAAGGCAAUGUCUUUUCUCUCUGUUAAGAUCUUGUACUUGUCUUUGGUGCUCCAGAGUUCCACCAUGAUAUGUCUAAAUAUAGACUUCAUUUCACCA